GUGCCCGCGGGGGAGGCGCCCUCGGGCCCCGCGGCGCAGCCCAGAGUCCUCUGGAUCGUGGGAGACCCUGAGCCCCGGCCCUGAGGUGGGAAUGCAGCAGGAGUGUUCUGUGUGCACUUGCGUGUCAUCGCAUCAGGUGCUGUAAAAUGUGGAUUUGAGGAUGAUAGAAUAGUGAAGAUAAUUUUUAAUGCUUCAACCAAGAAACUUUGAAAUGAAACCGGCUUGGAGUUGUGUUUCUGAGACAUGGUUGCAGUUCUAGGGAGACCACUGGACUCCGUGUAUUGAAGCUCCUCAGAGACCCGAUGAGGAGGGAUCCAGAGGGUGCCCAGAUCUUACAGGUAGUGCCCACGAAAAGGAGAAGUUCCAGGUUCCCUGCCCCACCCAAGGUAGGGUGGAGCUGAGCAGGGAGGAGCAGAAGCUGGAGGAGGAAACUGGAGAAGGAAGGAAGCAGGACAGAGAGCCAGAAGGAGACCUGGAAGAGGCACAUGGAGCAGAGAGAACUGUGAAAAAACUGUGCUUGCCUUUUGGUCGUGGACUGGUUGACACAGAUGUGGGUGACUCAUGGGGAGGUGACAAUGGUGUUUUUUGUCUUGAUUUUGAUUUUGCUCUUUUCCUUCCAGACUUGUUUGGUUGUUUCUGAUCCUUUUCUGUGGGUCCCCACCAGAAGGUGCCUUAGAUUUGGGGCAGGCUUUCAGGCCUUGCUCGAGGCCAAUGCUGUUUGGGUGAACUUUUACCCACGAGGGGACGGGUAGCUUUAGGUGCUUGAUUUAGAAACUAUAGUCUU
This is a long non-coding RNA of Talpa occidentalis (Iberian mole), 784 nucleotides long. RefSeq lists it as uncharacterized. The record is from RefSeq and is a predicted model, not a curated record. The transcript is spliced from 4 exons. Lineage: Eukaryota; Metazoa; Chordata; Mammalia; Eulipotyphla; Talpidae.